AAGACUAUACUUUCAGGGAUCAUUUCUAUAGUUCUUGACUUGAGAAAUGUGUUUCUAAAGUGUUCGUUUUCGUUAUCCACGAUGAUGAGUCGUAAUACCCCGCUUUUGAGCGCGAAGCGGGCAAGAAAUAAUGAUUUAUUUAAUAUGUUUCUGGUCAUUGAUGACUGUUCUGUACUCCUAUUUGGAGUAUCGAGAAAGGGGGUAUGAUCAGAGUGGU
Molecule: small nucleolar RNA, 217 nt
Organism: Cololabis saira (Pacific saury)
Lineage: Eukaryota; Metazoa; Chordata; Actinopteri; Beloniformes; Belonidae
Product: small nucleolar RNA U3
Exons: 1
Source: RefSeq, a predicted model, not a curated record